Oryza glaberrima (African rice) is the source of this 188-nucleotide non-coding RNA. The record is from Rfam. NCBI's taxonomy places the organism in Eukaryota, Viridiplantae, Streptophyta, Magnoliopsida, Poales, Poaceae.
AAUAAGUUCAUUUCUAGGUUUUGACAGUAUGUCUUAUUUAUUUUUUUAAUUAGUAUUUUGAUUGUUAUUAGAUGAUAAAAUAUAAAUAGUAUUUUAUGCAUGACUUAUUUUAUUUAGAUUUUUUAUAUACUUUUAAAAUAAGACGGAUGGUCAAACGUUCAACCCAGAAACCCCUAAAUGAAUUUAUU